Molecule: transfer RNA, 68 nt
Filed under: Asterias amurensis (Northern Pacific seastar)
Lineage: Eukaryota; Metazoa; Echinodermata; Asteroidea; Forcipulatida; Asteriidae
Description: tRNA-Trp
Source: RNAcentral
AGAGAUUUAAGUUAACAAACUAAAAACCUUCAAAGUUUUCAUUAAGAGUGAAACUCUCUUAGUCUUUA